GCUGGGUGUGGUGGCUCACGCCUGUAAUCCCAGCACUUUGGGAGGCCGAGGUGGGUGGAUCACCUGAGGUCAGGAGUUUGAGACCAGCCUGGCUAAGAUGGUGAAACCCCAUCUCUACUAAAAAUACAAAAAUUAAACGAGGUGCGGUGGUUCACACCUGUAAUCUCAACACUGGGAGACCAAAGUGGGUGGAUCACCUGAGGUAAGGAGUUUGAGACCAGCCUGGCCAACAUGGUGAAACCCCGUCUCU
This 250-nucleotide small RNA is filed under the name Rhinopithecus bieti (black snub-nosed monkey). Its description in RNAcentral is "Metazoan signal recognition particle RNA (ENSRBIG00000003500.1)". The stretch from base 1 to 117 matches the Rfam family "Metazoan signal recognition particle RNA". The record is from RNAcentral. Lineage: Eukaryota; Metazoa; Chordata; Mammalia; Primates; Cercopithecidae.